CUUGUCUGUGAAAAGGCCCCCCCUGGGGCACAGCUGUGGUUGGUGGAAGCAUCAGAUUGAGCCUGUGGGGCUGGAAACAGCCAGAUAAUGUAUGAUGUAUGAAGUGCUGCGGGCAGCCUGCUACAGCACGAGUCCCACCAUCACCAACCAUCUGAUCUCUCCAGCCCAACUCCUACUCCUCCUGCAUGGCCACCUCCUCCAGGAAGUCCUCCACAACCUUGCUCUGUGGUCUUAAAGCAGCUGCACGACUUUACCCCAUCAUCAUAGGACCAACAGGAGGGUGCGCUCCACCUCAGGCUUCCCAUCCAUGUUGGCUGGAUGAAUGGAAUUAAACUGAACUGGACAGGUGUUCCCGAGAACUGAGACUGGACAGUCAGAGAAAUCAGAG
Molecule: long non-coding RNA, 388 nt
Organism: Chinchilla lanigera (long-tailed chinchilla)
Lineage: Eukaryota; Metazoa; Chordata; Mammalia; Rodentia; Chinchillidae
Exons: 3
Source: RefSeq, a predicted model, not a curated record